Molecule: ribosomal RNA, 426 nt
Filed under: uncultured Pelagibacterales bacterium
Lineage: Bacteria; Pseudomonadati; Pseudomonadota; Alphaproteobacteria; Candidatus Pelagibacterales
Description: bacterial SSU rRNA
Rfam family: Bacterial small subunit ribosomal RNA
Source: RNAcentral
CGGGUGAGUAUAAUGUGGGAAUCUGCCUUUUGGUUCGGAAUAACACGGGGAAACUUGUGCUAAUACCGAAUAAGCCCUUACGGGGAAAGUUUUAACGCCGAAAGAUGAGCCCGCACUUGAUUAGCUAGUUGGUAAGGUAAAAGCUUACCAAGGCAAUGAUCAAUAGCUGUUCUUAGAGGAAGACCAGCCACAUUGGGACUGAGACACGGCCCAGACUCCUACGGGAGGCAGCAGUGGGGAAUCUUGCACAAUGGGGGAAACCCUGAUGCAGCGAUGCCGCGUGAGUGAAGAAGGCCUUUGGGUUGUAAAACUCUUUCGUCGGGGAAGAAAAUGACUGUACCCGAAUAAGAAGGUCCGGCUAACUUCGUGCCAGCAGCCGCGGUAAUACGAAGGGACCUAGCGUAGUUCGGAAUUACUGGGCUUAAA